Molecule: long non-coding RNA, 1312 nt
Filed under: Homo sapiens (human)
Lineage: Eukaryota; Metazoa; Chordata; Mammalia; Primates; Hominidae
Description: HSALNT0210755
Source: RNAcentral
UGAAGGAGGGGACGACGUGGUUUAAAAGAAAGGAAGUUGUUAAAAUAGAAUCUACUUUGAAAUGCAAUCACAUUUUAAAGGUGAACGAAAUUAGAUUAAAAAAAAAAGCCUACCUUUUGAGUUACUUUCAGAAGAUAACACAGGGUAAGUAAAACAAGUUUUUUUCUUGUAAAAUUGUAUUUGGUUUAUCUUUCUGUUUCUUUCUGAUAUGCCUUUUGAAUAUCAUUCAAAAAGCUACGUUACUACAAUUCAUAAAAUGUUUUCUCUGCUAUUGAUAUCUUCUGUGAAAAGAAGACAGAUAUUUAAGAGGCUAAAUUAAUUCAAGUGACGUUCUGAAAAUUAAAAUUCACCUUGAAAGUACCUUUCACAUAAUCAUGAUUUUACAUCUGAGACACUUAAAACUUCUCAUUUUAAUUAGUUUUUCAAAGCAGUUUUUUUUUUUUUUUUCAAUAGAGUAAGUGGUAGUUCUUACUUCUGAAGGCUGAAGCUGUGUCUUUGGUUCCCACAGUCCUGUAGGCACAGGCCAGUUUGAAAGCAACUGCCACGAGCAUUCGAAGGCCAAUAGGGACAGAGCAAAUCCUCGUUUCUAAAUAUGGGAGCCUGGGUUUGCUGGCUGGAGCUCCAGGAUUAACAUUCCACCGCCCUGGACCCUUACUCAAUUCCUCCUUCCACGGUUCUUUGCUAAACCUGAGACCAGAUGGGUAGCAGGCCAUUAAAGUACAGCAGAAAGUCAUUUUUCUGAAGUCUGAGACUUGAUCUAUCUGCAUAACAAUAUUUUCAGAGUUUAUAUUUAUUAACUCUAAAAGAGCAAUGUGACUUUAAAAUAUGUUUGUAGCAGUUGUUUCUUGCCUAAAUAAUCUUUCACUGUGUAAUGAGUGCGUGUGUGGGAUGCAGGACUUAACUAAUUCCUCAGGCUAACUGACCAUGUCUUUUACUAACAGACAAGAAUGACAAAACCUUGGAUUGUGUCUGUUUCUCCAUCAGCCAGUGUAAAGUGGCACAUAGGCUUUACUUCAGAAGGGGUGUGCAAUCUUCCCUGGGCCACACUGGAAGGAGAAGAAUUGCCUUUGGGCCAUGCGUAAAAUACACUAGUGAUAGCUGAUGAGUUUUUAAAAAAUUGCAAAAAAAUCUUAUAAUGUUUUAAGAGGGUUUACGAAUUUGUGUUAGUCCACGUUCAAAGAUGUCCUGGGCCAUAUGCGGCCCAUGAGCAGUGGGCUGGACAAACUUGCUUUCUGCUUCUGCGUUAUAUUAAACUUGCAAGGCCUUUCUGUUUGCAAUUAAUGGAAAAUAUUGUCAUGAAUACUCAAUAGGU